This 710-nucleotide ribosomal RNA is filed under the name Bacillus thuringiensis. Its description in RNAcentral is "bacterial SSU rRNA". It matches the Rfam family "Bacterial small subunit ribosomal RNA", at positions 61 to 751 of the family's 1533-position model. Lineage: Bacteria; Bacillati; Bacillota; Bacilli; Caryophanales; Bacillaceae. The record is from RNAcentral.
GUCGAGCGAAUGGAUUAAGAGCUUGCUCUUAUGAAGUUAGCGGCGGACGGGUGAGUAACACGUGGGUAACCUGCCCAUAAGACUGGGAUAACUCCGGGAAACCGGGGCUAAUACCGGAUAACAUUUUGAACCGCAUGGUUCGAAAUUGAAAGGCGGCUUCGGCUGUCACUUAUGGAUGGACCCGCGUCGCAUUAGCUAGUUGGUGAGGUAACGGCUCACCAAGGCAACGAUGCGUAGCCGACCUGAGAGGGUGAUCGGCCACACUGGGACUGAGACACGGCCCAGACUCCUACGGGAGGCAGCAGUAGGGAAUCUUCCGCAAUGGACGAAAGUCUGACGGAGCAACGCCGCGUGAGUGAUGAAGGCUUUCGGGUCGUAAAACUCUGUUGUUAGGGAAGAACAAGUGCUAGUUGAAUAAGCUGGCACCUUGACGGUACCUAACCAGAAAGCCACGGCUAACUACGUGCCAGCAGCCGCGGUAAUACGUAUGUGGCAAGCGUUAUCCGGAAUUAUUGGGCGUAAAGCGCGCGCAGGUGGUUUCUUAAGUCUGAUGUGAAAGCCCACGGCUCAACCGUGGAGGGUCAUUGGAAACUGGGAGACUUGAGUGCAGAAGAGGAAAGUGGAAUUCCAUGUGUAGCGGUGAAAUGCGUAGAGAUAUGGAGGAACACCAGUGGCGAAGGCGACUUUCUGGUCUGUAACUGACACUGAGG